GACUGCUAAGACUGGAUAGGAAAUAAAAAGGCAUAUCUUUUUUUUUUAAAGACCUUUUUCGAAAGGUAUGCUUAAAGAUGAGCUUGCGCCACAUUAGUUUGUUGGUGGGGUAAUGGCCUACCAAGACGAUGAUGUGUAGCUGGACUGAGAGGUCGAACAGCCACAUUGGGACUGAGACACGGCCCAAACUCCUACGGGAGGCAGCAGUAGGGAAUUUUCGGCAAUGGAGGAAACUCUGACCGAGCAACGCCGCGUGAACGAUGAAGUAUUUCGGUAUGUAAAGUUCUUUUAUUGAAGAAGAAAAAAUAGUGGAAAAACUAUCUUGACGUUAUUCAAUGAAUAAGCCCCGGCUAACUAUGUGCCAGCAGCCGCGGUAAGACAUAGGGGGCGAGCGUUAUCCGGAAUUAUUGGGCGUAAAGGGUGCGUAGGCGGUUAGGAAAGUCUAUAAUUUAAUUUCAGUGCUUAACGCUGUCUUGUUAUAGAAACUACCUUGACUAGAGUUAGAUAGAGGCAAGCGGAAUUCCAUGUGUAGCGGUAAAAUGUGUAAAUAUAUGGAGGAACACCAGAAGCGUAGGCGGCUUGCUGGGUCUUGACUGACGCUGAGGCACGAAAGCGUGGGUAGCAAACAGGAUUAGAUACCCUGGUAGUCCACGCCGUAAACGAUGAGUACUAAGUGUCGGGAUAAAACUCGGUACUGAAGUUAACACAUUAAGUACUCCGCCUGAGUAGUACGUACGCAAGUAUGAAACUUAAAGGAAUUGACGGGACUCCGCACAAGCGGUGGAUCAUGUUGUUUAAUUCGAAGAUACACGAAAAAUCUUACCAGGUCUUGACAUGCUCUGCAAAGCUAUAGAAAUAUAGUGGAGGUUAUCAGGGACACAGGUGGUGCAUGGUUGUCGUCAGUUCGUGUCGUGAGAUGUUAGGUUAAGUCCUAAAACGAGCGCAACCCUUGUCGUUAGUUACCAGCACGUAAUGGUGGGCACUUUAACGAGACUGCCAAUUAAACAUUGGAGGAAGGUGAGGAUUACGUCAAAUCAUCAUGCCCCUUAUGAUCUGGGCUACAAACGUGAUACAAUGGCUGUUACAAAGAGUAGCUGAAGCGCGAGUUUUUAGCCAAUCUCAAAAAAGCAGUCUCAGUUCGGAUUGAAGUCUGUAACUCGACUUCAUGAAGUNGGAAUCGCUAGUAAUCGCGAAUCAGCAUGUCGCGGUGAAUACGUUCGCGGGGUUUGUACACACCGCC
This 1240-nucleotide ribosomal RNA is filed under the name Candidatus Phytoplasma fraxini. RNAcentral describes it as "bacterial SSU rRNA". It matches the Rfam family "Bacterial small subunit ribosomal RNA", at positions 158 to 1394 of the family's 1533-position model. Lineage: Bacteria; Bacillati; Mycoplasmatota; Mollicutes; Acholeplasmatales; Acholeplasmataceae. The record is from RNAcentral.